CCUACGGGCGGCUGCAGUGGGGAAUAUUGCACAAUGGGGGAAACCCUGAUGCAGCAACGCCGCGUGAAGGAUGACGGUUUUCGGAUUGUAAACUUCUAUUAUUAGGGAAGAAAGAAAUGACGGUACCUAAAUAAGAAGCCCCGGCUAACUACGUGCCAGCAGCCGCGGUAAUACGUAGGGGGCAAGCGUUAUCCGGAAUUACUGGGUGUAAAGGGGGAGUAGGCGGCAAGGUAAGCGAUAUGUGAAAGCCUUAAGCUUAACUUAAGGAUGGCAUAACGAACUAUCUAGCUAGAGUGCAGGAGAGGAAAGCGGAAUUCCUGGUGUAGCGGUGAAAUGCGUAGAUAUUAGGAGGAACACCAGUGGCGAAGGCGGCUUUCUGGACUGAAACUGACGCUGAGGCUCGAAAGCGUGGGGAGCGAACAGGAUUAGAUACCCCUGUAGUC
This 443-nucleotide ribosomal RNA is filed under the name uncultured bacterium. RNAcentral's name for it is "partial 16S ribosomal RNA". It matches the Rfam family "Bacterial small subunit ribosomal RNA", at positions 338 to 795 of the family's 1533-position model. The record is from RNAcentral.